Molecule: ribosomal RNA, 449 nt
Filed under: uncultured bacterium
Lineage: Bacteria
Description: partial 16S ribosomal RNA
Rfam family: Bacterial small subunit ribosomal RNA
Source: RNAcentral
GUCGAGAAUCUUUCACAAUGGGGGCAACCCUGAUGGAGCGACGCCGCGUGGAGGAUAAGGUCUUCGGAUUGUAAACUCCUGUCAUGCGUGAACAAGGUUGCUUGGUUAAUACCUGGGCAAAUUGAUGGUAACGCAAGAGGAAGAGACGGCUAACUCUGUGCCAGCAGCCGCGGUAAUACAGAGGUCUCAAGCGUUGUUCGGAAUCAUUGGGCGUAAAGGGUGCGUAGGUGGCGUGGUAAGUCAGAUGUGAAAGCCCGGUGCUCAACCUCGGAACGGCAUCCGAUACUGCCAUGCUAGAGUACUGGAGAGGUGACUAGAAUUCUCGGUGUAGCAGUGAAAUGCGUAGAUAUCGAGAGGAAUACCAAAGGCGUAGGCAGGUCACUGGACAGUUACUGACACUGAGGCACGAAGGCCAGGGGAGCGAACGGGAUUAGAUACCCGUGUAGUCC